GUAAAAGGUAAAAUUCAUGGCCCGUAGCCAGCCAAACUAAAGCGAAAGCCUUCGUCCAUGCAUGUUUUCAUUGCCCAUGAGCGAAAGUCAGAGGCUCGAAGACGAUCAGAUACCGUCCUAGUUCUGACCAUAAACGAUGCCAACUGACGAUCCGUGGUGGUAGUAAUGUUACCUUCCCCACGGGCAGUCCCCGGGAAACCUUUAAGUGUUUGGGUUCCGGGGGAAGUAUGGUUGCAAAGCUGAAACUUAAAGGAAUUGACGGAAGGGCACCACCAGGAGUGGAGCCUGCGGCUUAAUUUGACUCAACACGGGAAAACUCACCCGGGCCGGACACUAUGAGGAUUGACAGAUUGAGAGCUCUUUCUUGAUUUGGUGGUUGCUGGUGCAUGGCCGUUCUUAGUAGGUGGAGCGAUUUGUCUGGUUAAUUCCGAUAACGAACGAGACUCCAGCCUGCUAAUUAGUGCGUUUGUCCACUGCACCUGCGUAGGUGACGUCGGAUGACACCACCUGUCACGAGGGCGUGGCUUCCACUCUUGCCUCUGCUUUUCCGCUCAAAUGCCCCCCUAGCUCCUCGUCCUCCUCCUCCUCCUCCUCCUCCUCCUUCUUCAGCGCCUCUCCCGGCUGGCUGGCUGGGCGAGGUGGUGGUGGUGGUGGUGGCGGUGAGGAUGAUGGUGAGGUUGGAGGCGGUGCAGGUGGGCGAGUGGAUUGUGGCGGAGGUGAGGGAUGGAGUCCGGCGUUUGUGGCCGGUUAGUCUGGCGUUGGCCUGCGGGUGUGGCGCGAAUGCCUACUUCUUAGAGGGACAAGCGGGAGAAGCCGCACGAAAUAGAGCAAUAACAGGUCUGUGAUGCCCUUAGAUGUCCGGGGCCGCACGCGCGCUACAAUGACGGUGUCAGCGAGUCAGACCUUCUGGCCCGAAAGGGUUGGGCAAACUGGUCAAUCACCGUCGUGACAGGGAUCGGGGCUUGGAAUUGUUCCCCGUGAACGAGGAAUUCCUAGUAAGUGCAAGUCAUAAGCUUGCGCUGAUUACGUCCCUGCCCUUUGUACACACCGCCCGUCGCUACUACCGAUUGAAUGGUUUAGUAAGGUCCUUGGAUUGGCGUCAUUGCGGCGGUGGCCGAGAGGUCACAGCCCGACGGGCGCUGAGAAGACGACCC
RNAcentral lists this ribosomal RNA (1154 nucleotides) under Taenia solium (pork tapeworm). RNAcentral's name for it is "bacterial SSU rRNA". It matches the Rfam family "Eukaryotic small subunit ribosomal RNA", at positions 904 to 1761 of the family's 1831-position model. The record is from RNAcentral. Lineage: Eukaryota; Metazoa; Platyhelminthes; Cestoda; Cyclophyllidea; Taeniidae.